UAGGGAAUAUUGGACAAUGGGGGCAACCCUGAUCCAGCAAUGCCGCGUGAGUGAAGAAGGCCCUCGGGUUGUAAAGCUCUUUUGUCCGGAAAGAAAACCAUUCGGUGAAUACCCGGAUGGUCUGACGGUACCGGAAGAAUAAGCACCGGCUAACUUCGUGCCAGCAGCCGCGGUAAUACGAAGGGUGCAAGCGUUACUCGGAAUUACUGGGCGUAAAGCGUGCGUAGGUGGUUGUUUAAGUCAGAUGUGAAAGCCCUGGGCUCAACCUGGGAAUGGCAUUGGAAACUGUGCAGCUAGAGUGCGGUAGAGGGGAGUGGAAUUCCCGGUGUAGCAGUGAAAUGCGUAGAUAUCGGGAGGAACAUCUGUGGCGAAGGCGACUGCCUGGACCAGCACUGACACUGAGGCACGAAAGCGUGGGGAGCAAACA
RNAcentral lists this ribosomal RNA (427 nucleotides) under uncultured bacterium. RNAcentral describes it as "bacterial SSU rRNA". It matches the Rfam family "Bacterial small subunit ribosomal RNA", at positions 355 to 774 of the family's 1533-position model. The record is from RNAcentral.